RNAcentral lists this ribosomal RNA (422 nucleotides) under uncultured bacterium. RNAcentral describes it as "bacterial SSU rRNA". It matches the Rfam family "Bacterial small subunit ribosomal RNA", at positions 355 to 774 of the family's 1533-position model. The record is from RNAcentral.
UAAGGAAUAUUGGUCAAUGGACGCAAGUCUGAACCAGCCAUGCCGCGUGAAGGAUUAAGGCCCUCUGGGUUGUAAACUUCUUUUAUAGGGGAAGAAAUGUGACGGUUCUCCGCCACUUGACGGUACCCUGGGAAUAAGCACCGGCUAACUCCGUGCCAGCAGCCGCGGUAAUACGGAGGGUGCAAGCGUUAUCCGGAUUCACUGGGUUUAAAGGGUGCGUAGGUGGGCAGAUAAGUCAGUGGUGAAAUCUUCCGGCUUAACCGGGAAACUGCCGUUGAUACUAUUUGUCUUGCAUAUUGCGGAGGUAAGCGGAAUAUGUCAUGUAGCGGUGAAAUGCUUAGAUAUGACAUAGAACACCAAUUGCGAAGGCAGCUUACUACACAAUCAUUGACACUGAGGCACGAAAGCGUGGGUAGCGAACA